GUGCAGCAGUCGCGAAACUCCACAAUGUGCGAAAGCACGAUGAGGGAAUCCCAAGUGCUUGCUCGUAAGAGUAAGCUGUUUCUCUGUCUAAAACGCAGAGAGAGUAAGGGCUGGGUAAGACGGGUGCCAGCCGCCGCGGUAAUACCUGCAGCUCGAGUGGUGGCCGCUAUUAUUGGGCCUAAAACGUCCGUAGCCGGUUUAUUAAAUGCCUGGGUAAAUCGGACCGCUUAACGGUUCGAAUUCCGGGUAGACUGAUAAACUUGAGACCGGGAGAAGCUAGAGGUACUCCUGGGGUAGAGGUGAAAUUCUGUAAUCCUAGGGGGACCACCAGUGGCGAAGGCGUCUAGCUAGAACGGGUCUGACGGUGAGGGACGAAGCCCUGGGGC
This 386-nucleotide ribosomal RNA is filed under the name uncultured microorganism. RNAcentral describes it as "bacterial SSU rRNA". It matches the Rfam family "Archaeal small subunit ribosomal RNA", at positions 330 to 718 of the family's 1478-position model. The record is from RNAcentral.